This 774-nucleotide ribosomal RNA is filed under the name uncultured bacterium. Its description in RNAcentral is "bacterial SSU rRNA". It matches the Rfam family "Bacterial small subunit ribosomal RNA", at positions 70 to 839 of the family's 1533-position model. The record is from RNAcentral.
GUGGAAAGAGAAGGACGUGGAAUUUCCACCUAGUGCCUAACGGGUGAGUAACACGUGGGUUACCUACCUCUUAGAUGGGGAUACCAAUUGGAAACGAUUGUUAAUACCGAAUGUGAUCUACGGAUUAAAGGAAGCCUUUAAAGCUUCGCUAAGAGAUGGGCCUGCGGUGCAUUAGCUAGUUGGUGGGGCAACGGCCUACCAAGGCGACGAUGCGUAGCCGGCCUGAGAGGGCGGACGGCCACACUGGGACUGAGACACGGCCCAGACUCCUACGGGAGGCAGCAGUAGGGAAUUUUCGGCAAUGGGCGAAAGCCUGACCGAGCAACGCCGCGUGAGCUUUUAAGGUCUUCGGAUUGUAAAGUUCUGUUAUAGAGGAAGAACGGUGUACGUAGAAAUGACGUACAAGUGACGGUACUCUGUGAGGAAGCCACGGCUAACUACGUGCCAGCAGCCGCGGUAAUACGUAGGUGGCGAGCGUUAUCCGGAAUCAUUGGGCGUAAAGAGGGAGCAGGCGGCCUGGAGGGUCUAUUGUUAAAAGGCAGUGGCUUAACCAUUGCAAGGCGAAGAAACCGGCAGGCUAGAGUUCUAAAGAGGAUCGUGGAAUUCCAUGUGUAGCGGUGAAAUGCGUAGAUAUAUGGAGGAACACCAGUGGCGAAGGCGACGAUCUGGGAAGAAACAGACGCUGAGUCCCGAAAGCGUGNGGAGCAAAUAGGAUUAGAUACCCUAGUAGUCCACGCCGUAAACGAUGAGUACUAAGUGUUGGGGGUCAAACCU